RNAcentral lists this ribosomal RNA (400 nucleotides) under phytoplankton environmental sample. RNAcentral describes it as "partial small subunit ribosomal RNA". It matches the Rfam family "Eukaryotic small subunit ribosomal RNA", at positions 587 to 993 of the family's 1831-position model. The record is from RNAcentral.
AGCUCCAAUAGCGUAUAUUAAAGUUGUUGCAGUUAAAAAGCUCGUAGUUGGAUUUCGGAACGGGCCAGUUGGUCCGCCGCAAGGUGUGUACUGACUGGUUUGUUCUUCUUCGCAAAGACUGCGUGUGCUCUUUAUUGAGUGUGCGUAGGAUUUACGACGUUUACUUUGAAAAAAUUAGAGUGUUCAAAGCAGGCUAUCGCUUGAAUACAUGAGCAUGGAAUAAUGGAAUAGGACUUUGGUCCUAUUUUGUUGGUUUUCGGAACUAGAGGUAAUGAUUAAGAGGGACAGACGGGGGCAUUCGUAUUGCGGUGUUAGAGGUGAAAUUCUUGGAUCGCCGCAAGACGAACUACUGCGAAAGCAUUUGCCAAGAAUGUUUUCAUUAAUCAAGAACGAAAGUAGG